UGAGCAAUCUGCCCUUCUCAUCGGAAUAAGCGUUGGAAACGACGUCUAAUGCCGAAUACGACCUCCUUUCGCAUGAUCGGAGGUGGAGAGCUCCGGCGGAGAAGGAUGAGCUCGCGGCCUAUCAGCUAGUUGGUGUGGGUAAUGGCCCACCAAGGCGACGACGGGUAGCCGGCCUGAGAGGGUGACCGGCCACACUGGGACUGAGACACGGCUCAGACCUCUACGGGAGG
This 230-nucleotide ribosomal RNA is filed under the name uncultured bacterium. RNAcentral's name for it is "partial 16S ribosomal RNA". It matches the Rfam family "Bacterial small subunit ribosomal RNA", at positions 118 to 347 of the family's 1533-position model. The record is from RNAcentral.